This 174-nucleotide ribosomal RNA is filed under the name uncultured Eubacteriales bacterium. Its description in RNAcentral is "uncultured Clostridiales bacterium partial 16S ribosomal RNA". It matches the Rfam family "Bacterial small subunit ribosomal RNA", at positions 337 to 525 of the family's 1533-position model. The record is from RNAcentral. Lineage: Bacteria; Bacillati; Bacillota; Clostridia; Eubacteriales.
UCCUACGGGAGGCAGCAGUAGGGAAUAUUGCGCAAUGGGGGCAACCCUGACGCAGCGACGCCGCGUGAACGAUGAAGGCCUUCGGGUCGUAAAGUUCUGUCCUCAGGGAAGAAACAAAUGACGGUACCUGAGGAGGAAGCCCCGGCUAACUACGUGCCAGCAGCCGCGGUAAUA